GCUCCCCUCCGGUUCUUCCCCAUCUCCCAUUCCCCUCCCUCAUGCUUUCCACACGGGUCGAUAGAAUCCAGCAAUCCCUAGCCGCCGGAAUUCGACCCACCGUAGCCGGCGAGAGUCCACCGCCGAUGGGGAGAGCCUUUCCAGUUGGAACGACCACCCACAUCGGGGCAGAGGGGAACCGCGUGCGUGGCCAACAAGUGGACCGACGGGCGAGAUGCUGCGCCGCGGACGCGACGGGGAGAAGAGAGGAAGGGGGCGCGCGUGGGCGGCUGGCCUACAAGGAACCAACGCGUCUCUGCCACAUCUACAAACCGCAGGCAACAGAAAAUAGUGGAAACUAGGCACUAGACAACCUUUUCCGCCAUCCCCUGGCUCGGCAGGUUUUAAGAUGGAGGACUCUCCAGAUCAAUACGAUGGCGAGCAGAAGCAAGGUGCAAGACAAUACAGAAGAUACAAUUCAAGAUUUAGCAACUUUUAUCUAGCAUCCAUUUCUACAGGGUACGGGGAUGCAAGAACAGGGGACAAGAUCCAAGUCAUGUUCUGCAAACACUUUGGUACAUGGGGCAAUUUUUGUAACUAGAAGAUUAGGGGGGAAGGAGGAGAGCUCCCCAACGCUACGCCAUGGCAUCCGACGGUGGCUGGGGAAGGAGUUGCACAGGAGAUCUGGGCUGGUGGGCGUUGGGUUUUCUAGUGGUGGGUGGAGGGGAGGAUCACGUGAGGGAAAGGAUGGUUGGUUGUCGAGACGUGGCAACAAGCGAGGGAAAUUGGACUUGCCUUUUUUAGCACAUGGGGUGGGGGACCGAUAGGGACACUUUUCUUAAGUGCCGGCCGCGAGAUCCACUCGCAUAGCGCGCGGGCGCUGUGUAGCAACGUCCAUAGAUGAUUAGGGCAUGUACAGUGAUGCUAUCUUAGGAGUGCCACAUAGGAUAAAUGAUGAGGUGGAAGAGAGAGAACUCAUAAAAAAAGGCUUGUCUUCUCUUAUUUAAGAUAAGACAAGAGAUGAUCUCUUAGCAUAAUUUGUCUCACCAUGUUUUAAGGAAUUGCUAGUUAUUAAAGAUAAGGGCAUGUACAAUGGUUGAUAAGAUAGUCUUGUCUUAUGCAAACUUGUCUCACCAUGUUUUAAGGAAUUGCUAGUUAUUAAAGAUAAGGGCAUGUAUAAUGGUUGAUAAGAUAGUCUUGUCUUAAGCUUUGCAUGUAAUUUAGAGAUGACAAAAAAAAUGUCUACAAUGGGUCAUUUCUUAGCCUUAUCUUCAAUAACUAGCAAUUCCUAAAAAUGUGGUGAGACAUAUUAUGCUAAGAGAUCAUCUCUUAUCUUAUUUUAAAUAAAAAAAAGACAAACCUUCUAUUAUGAGUUCUCUCUCCUCCACCUCAUCAUUUAUCUUACGUGGCACUCCUUAGAUAGCACCGUUGUACUCCCUCCGUUCCAAAA
This is a long non-coding RNA of Triticum aestivum (bread wheat), 1429 nucleotides long. RefSeq lists it as uncharacterized. The transcript has 4 exons. Lineage: Eukaryota; Viridiplantae; Streptophyta; Magnoliopsida; Poales; Poaceae. The record is from RefSeq and is a predicted model, not a curated record.